GGGCGAAAGCCUGAUGCAGCGACGCCGCGUGAGGGAUGACGGCCUUCGGGUUGUAAACCUCUUUCAGCAGGGAAGAAGCGAAAGUGACGGUACCUGCAGAAGAAGCGCCGGCUAACUACGUGCCAGCAGCCGCGGUAAUACGUAGGGCGCGAGCGUUGUCCGGAAUUAUUGGGCGUAAAGAGCUCGUAGGCGGCUUGUCGCGUCGGUUGUGAAAGCCCGGGGCUUAACCCCGGGUCUGCAGUCGAUACGGGCAGGCUAGAGUUCGGUAGGGGAGAUCGGAAUUCCUGGUGUAGCGGUGAAAUGCGCAGAUAUCAGGAGGAACACCGGUGGCGAAGGCGGAUCUCUGGGCCGAUACUGACGCUGAGGAGCGAAAGCGUGGGGAGCGAACAGGAUUAGAUACCCUGGUAGUCCACGCCGUAAACGGUGGGCACUAGGUGUGGGCAACAUUCCACGUUGUCCGUGCCGCAGCUAACGCAUUAAGUGCCCCGCCUGGGGAGUACGGCCGCAAGGCUAAAACUCAAAGGAAUUGACGG
This 533-nucleotide ribosomal RNA is filed under the name Streptomyces venetus. RNAcentral's name for it is "bacterial SSU rRNA". It matches the Rfam family "Bacterial small subunit ribosomal RNA", at positions 373 to 916 of the family's 1533-position model. The record is from RNAcentral. Lineage: Bacteria; Bacillati; Actinomycetota; Actinomycetes; Kitasatosporales; Streptomycetaceae.